Molecule: long non-coding RNA, 1537 nt
Filed under: Struthio camelus australis
Lineage: Eukaryota; Metazoa; Chordata; Aves; Struthioniformes; Struthionidae
Description: lncRNA (ENSSCUG00000018103.1)
Source: RNAcentral
AAGCACAGCUCUUGAUAAUUCAAGAUAAACAUCUUCUUGCUUGCUGGUUUCAUUCUUAGGAAUGUCUUACUUGUCACAAGCUGAACAUUUUGGAAUGCAACCUAGAUUGGCAAGGAAUAAGCCACUGAAAUCAAGGUAUUUAUAAUCAGGAUUGGGCAGUAUUAGUAAUGGAUGAUGAUAUCUACCUCACCUAUGCAUUUUGAUGUGUGAUUUGAGAGCUUGAAAGAGAUUUGUUUAUUUUGAAAUGCAACAUAUACAAGGAGUACAGCAGAAAGAUUUUACCUGUUUUAAAUUGUUAGAAUUUUCCACACCUCCACAGCAUCAUGCAGACUGAGAAACCUUGAACUGGACAAAAUCCAAAACAUGCUGGACAAAGUAUUGUCAGACCAGGGCACUCACAAAUCAUCUGCGCCUGGAAAAUCUUAACUCUGAUUGCGUUAACAACGCUGAGGUCCCAUUUGUUUUCUGCAGUCCAGUGGCAAGGAGAAAGCUAUCUGCCUGGAAGUUUGGAAUGCUGUAGUCAAUCUUACAGAGCAGCACCUUGGAAAAGAAGAGAAAAAACCAAAAAUGCUUCAAUGCCUUCCAGUAGUUUUAGAGGACUGAUGGAACCCACUAACUUCAGUUCCAGAAUCAAGGACGAAGAGAAAAAUUCCAGCAAAGACUCCAAAUGCAAAGAAUACAUACAUACAUACAUAUAUAUAUAUGAAAUACCAAAAGGGUAAGACUCAGAAUCAGCUUAGCUGCAUAAGAAUAUAGCCAUUUUGAGCUGUAAAAAUGAACAUCCGCUGAUAAGCAAAGAUUGUUGUAUUAAUUCAAAGCCUUCUAAUUUGCUUAGAUUUUUGUAGGAAUGGUGUGGCUUAAAGGGCGCUCUCCAAGUCUUGCAGUUUGCCCCAUUCCAAAGUGAAUAGUAGUUAGAACUAUCUGGAAGGGCACCACAGUUUUGUUUUGUUUUUGGUAGGUGAAGAAUGUACUUUUUCCCAGCUGUAUUCCCAGAAAUGCCUGGACUGCUCUGCUGAAAUCUGCCCCAAAACAUGCAAAGAAACAACAGAAGGCACACUUGGUACUUUUUGGCAAAGUUAUAAACAGAGAAAUUCUUCAUGCUUGCAGAGAAGAGGAUUCCCUUGCCAGAGGAAGGGGUUGGAAAUGUAUAUUAAAAAAAAAAAAGUGCCUAUGGAUUACAGGUAAAAAAUGAGUGACUAUUUUACAAAUGGAGAAACGCACAACUUGAGCUAUGGCUUUGGGUUUUUUCCCUUUUUUUCAGGAAGAAAGAGUCACUGUGUCAAAUAUAUUUUUUAACUGAUCAUCAACCAUAAAACCUCAAAUCUUCCCAAAGUUUUUUUCCUGAAACAAGAGCAACAAUAGAAAAUAAGGAGGGAGGAAGUUUUGUACCUCUUUGCAACAGUCUCCAUCAUCAAUACCUUUUCUCUUGUCAUGCCCAGGAUUGGAUUGAUGCUAUUAAAAAGAAAUUUUGGAGCCCUGUUAUUUAUAAAUGAGAAUGGUCCUGGAAAGCACAGAUGCUCUUUCAGUUACUCUUUGG